Long non-coding RNA from Paramisgurnus dabryanus, 1240 nucleotides. RefSeq lists it as uncharacterized. The record is from RefSeq and is a predicted model, not a curated record. Lineage: Eukaryota; Metazoa; Chordata; Actinopteri; Cypriniformes; Cobitidae.
CUUUGUUAUUAUGAAUAUUAAUAAAUUAAUAUGAGGUGUGUUUUUAUCAACUUAACCACUUGGUUGUUUUUGCUUCAGAAAAGCAACUAGUUAUAAAUGUAAGGGCUUUUUUGGACAACUUCGGUGAAAAAGUGUUGAUUUCGUAGUUCAGUCAGCGUAACUUAUAUCCGAGAGGUCUUACAGGCGCCACAGACACCUUAUCAGCCUUUUGUAAGGAGGAGCAGCUCGAGUGCGGUCAGUGUUAAGCUGCUUAGUUUCUCAAAUUCAUAUUACUGAUAAAGUGUUAAAACUUAGAUGAGAUGUUGGUGUUUUAUGGCUCACGAAUUCGCAAUAACGGAUACGUAUAGCAGUUCGUGUUAAUGACAUUAAUCCAAACUUAUUGAUGACGUGAUAACAUGGGCGUCGAAUCCAAUAUUAAUCAUGCUGAGGUUUUCUCGACGGGGUAAUGUGUAUAAAUGCAGUUAUAAAAUUAAAAGGGACAAGAUUGUCGACGUGACCCUCAUGUUUCCAUGGCAAUCAGUCAAUUACAUGUUACGCUUAUGAUCGCACGUGCGGUCAUUCGCGCAGUAUCCAUGAUUUUAAGCGGCAUGAAACACUUAGGUUAACUCCUUUGUACGAAAAUAUCAUGUCGUGUAAGUUGGCAUGUUCUAUUCGAAUUGAAAUACAUUGUAACGGUGUAAUUUUGCUUACUUGUUGAAUAGUUAGCAAGUUUUAAUGGAAAUAGAAAAUAUUGGUUAUCUAGACAAAUGUGCUCUUGUUUUUAGUAUAUUUAGUAUAACUCUUUUGUAAUGUCUUCGUUAUCAGAGCCCUUCAAAUUAGAAUAGUGAUGAUGAUCUUGUCAAUGCUGAGAUUUUCAUGCAUCAACAGCCACUACAUCUGGAUCAGAUUGAACAAGAAAUAGACAGCAAGGGUUGUCAGGUCAGAAACAGAAUGACACACGAACACAAGAAACCUCACAGGCAGAUCAACAUGCAAUUUGAAGACGUGUGAUAAAAUACAGAGAGGUGAAGUAGUGUGUCUUUCCAGAUCCCCAAAUCAUUCCCCCUUAAAAGGCCUGAAGAGGAGAUUUGGGAAGAUGCUGUUUCAUAAGUCGCUUUGCCAGAUCACCUGUGAUGCUGUCAUCGUAUUAAGUACAGCAUGAGCCAGAAUAGAUGGGUGGUGGUGGCCAUAAGAAGACUGUCAACUAAACCAACAACAAAAUUCAUAUUUGCAGUUUUUCUUGAAUAAAGUUUUUCUAUUC